This 592-nucleotide ribosomal RNA is filed under the name Phenacoccus multicerarii. RNAcentral's name for it is "partial large subunit ribosomal RNA". It matches the Rfam family "Eukaryotic large subunit ribosomal RNA", at positions 462 to 838 of the family's 3401-position model. Lineage: Eukaryota; Metazoa; Arthropoda; Insecta; Hemiptera; Pseudococcidae. The record is from RNAcentral.
GUUGUGGGCUCGAUUUUUCUGUCGCCAGUACGGACGUCGCAACCCGUUUGGUGUCGGUCUUAGGAGACGUGUUUCACGUUCGUCGACGCGCUAUCUGCCUCGGUAGGUACGCGUUGCGAGUACGCGUUCGUGUUCCGGCCGACUUGCCAGACGGUAGAAUAAUGGUGGCCGUGACGGUCGUUCGCUUUCGGGCGAUUAGCGCUGUUCACGGUGCCGGUUUGCGACGAAUCUUCGGGCCUCUUUCCGACCCGUCUUGAAACACGGACCAAGGAGUCUAACGUGCGCGCGAGUCGCGGGGUGUCGAGCAGUGGAGGGUCGGGUCGCUUGCGGCUCGAUUCGACUGCUGCUCGUUACGACGCGAAACCCGUACCGUUCAUUCGGAAGGCGCAAUGAAAGUGAAAUGGGGAAGAUGGCGUUACCGAGUUCACGUUUCGCGACUUGUUCGCGACCGGUCGCCCGCAUUCCCAGGGCGUCCCAACGGCUCGACGGUGUUGCGGAUCGUCGUUCUUUCGGGAGCGGCGGUCGGACGUCGUCGGUCCGGGGCGCACCUAUAGCGUGCACGUUGGUACCCGAAAGAUGGUGAACUAUGCCU